AGAUAUUAGAAUUCAUGUGGGCGAGACUUACAUAUUAUAAUUGCUGGAAAUCUUGCCACAUGUUAAUCUGGUAUUUUUCUCCUUUUCCUUUUUUUUCUAGUUUUUACACUACGAGGUAUUUACGACGAUUUCUGCUUACGUGGUAUUUACGACGAUUUCAUCCAACGUGGUCUUUACGACGAUUUGGGCUUACGUGGAAUUAACGAGUGUUUUGUUUAAAUCCUUUUACG
RNAcentral lists this long non-coding RNA (230 nucleotides) under Brassica napus (rape). RNAcentral describes it as "long non-coding RNA (BNAP_LNC021758)". The record is from RNAcentral. Lineage: Eukaryota; Viridiplantae; Streptophyta; Magnoliopsida; Brassicales; Brassicaceae.